This 435-nucleotide ribosomal RNA is filed under the name Lactococcus lactis. Its description in RNAcentral is "bacterial SSU rRNA". It matches the Rfam family "Bacterial small subunit ribosomal RNA", at positions 28 to 451 of the family's 1533-position model. The record is from RNAcentral. Lineage: Bacteria; Bacillati; Bacillota; Bacilli; Lactobacillales; Streptococcaceae.
GACGAACGCUGGCGGCGUGCCUAAUACAUGCAAGUUGAGCGCUGAAGGUUGGUACUUGUACCAACUGGAUGAGCAGCGAACGGGUGAGUAACGCGUGGGGAAUCUGCCUUUGAGCGGGGGACAACAUUUGGAAACGAAUGCUAAUACCGCAUAAAAACUUUAAACACAAGUUUUAAGUUUGAAAGAUGCAAUUGCAUCACUCAAAGAUGAUCCCGCGUUGUAUUAGCUAGUUGGUGAGGUAAAGGCUCACCAAGGCGAUGAUACAUAGCCGACCUGAGAGGGUGAUCGGCCACAUUGGGACUGAGACACGGCCCAAACUCCUACGGGAGGCAGCAGUAGGGAAUCUUCGGCAAUGGACGAAAGUCUGACCGAGCAACGCCGCGUGAGUGAAGAAAGGUUUUCGGAUCGUAAAAACUCUGUUGGUAGAGAAAGAAA